This 361-nucleotide ribosomal RNA is filed under the name uncultured bacterium. RNAcentral's name for it is "bacterial SSU rRNA". It matches the Rfam family "Bacterial small subunit ribosomal RNA", at positions 438 to 793 of the family's 1533-position model. The record is from RNAcentral.
AGCAGUGAGGAAGGUGGGUAUGUUAAUAGCAUACUCAUUUGACGUUAGCUGCAGAAGAAGCACCGGCUAACUCCGUGCCAGCAGCCGCGGUAAUACGGAGGGUGCGAGCGUUAAUCGGAAUUACUGGGCGUAAAGCGCAUGCAGGUGGUUGUUAAGUCAGAUGUGAAAGCCCGGGGCUCAACCUCGGAAUUGCAUUUGAAACUGGCAAACUAGAGUACUGUAGAGGGGGUAGAAUUUCAGGUGUAGCGGUGAAAUGCGUAGAGAUCUGAAGGAAUACCGGUGGCGAAGGCGGCCCCCUGGACAGAUACUGACACUCAGAUGCGAAAGCGUGGGGAGCAAACAGGAUUAGAUACCCUGGUAG